Molecule: ribosomal RNA, 403 nt
Filed under: uncultured bacterium
Lineage: Bacteria
Description: partial 16S ribosomal RNA
Rfam family: Bacterial small subunit ribosomal RNA
Source: RNAcentral
GACGAACGCUGGCGGCGUGCCUAAUACAUGCAAGUCGAACGCAGUGGGGACGGGUGAGUAACACGUGGGUAACCUCCCAUCAGAGGGGAUAACACUUGGAAACAGGUGCUAAACCGAUACUGAUGGAUGAACCCGCGGUGCAUUAGCUAGUUGGGGGGGUACCGGCUCACGAAGGCCACGAUGCAUAGCCGACCUGAGGGGGUGAUCGGCCACAUUGGGACUGGGACACGCACCAUACUCCUACGGGAGGCAGCAGUAGGGAAUCUUCGGAAAUGGACGAAAGGCUGACCGAGCAAGGCCGCGUGAGUGAAGAAGUUUUUCGGAGCGUAAAGCUCUGUUGUUAGAGAAGCGGUAUCUAACCAGAAAGCCACGGCUAACUACGUGCCAGCAGCCGCGGUAAUUC